GGGAGCCCUAGCACAGGUGCUGCAUGGCCGUCGUCAGCUCGUGCCGUGAGGUGUUGGGUUAAGUCCCGCAACGAGCGCAACCCCCGCCGUUAGUUGCCAGCGGUUCGGCCGGGCACUCUAACGGGACUGCCCGCGAAAGCGGGAGGAAGAGGGGACGACGUCUGGUCAGCAUGGCCCUUACGGCCUGGGCGACACACGUGCUACAAUGCCCACUACAAAGCGAUGCCACCCGGCAACGGGGAGCUAAUCGCAAAAAGGUGGGCCCAGUUCGGAUUGGGGUCUGCAACCCGACCCCAUGAAGCCGGAAUCGCUAGUAAUCGCGGAUCAGCCAUGCCGCGGUGAAUACGUUCCCGGGCCUU
This 359-nucleotide ribosomal RNA is filed under the name uncultured Thermus sp. Its description in RNAcentral is "bacterial SSU rRNA". It matches the Rfam family "Bacterial small subunit ribosomal RNA", at positions 1022 to 1382 of the family's 1533-position model. The record is from RNAcentral. Lineage: Bacteria; Thermotogati; Deinococcota; Deinococci; Thermales; Thermaceae.